Molecule: unclassified non-coding RNA, 346 nt
Filed under: uncultured fungus
Lineage: Eukaryota; Fungi
Description: partial contains small subunit ribosomal RNA, internal transcribed spacer 1, and 5.8S ribosomal RNA
Rfam family: Eukaryotic small subunit ribosomal RNA (bases 1-73)
Source: RNAcentral
CCAAACUUGGUCAUUUAGAGGAAGUAAAAGUCGUAACAAGGUUUCCGUAGGUGAACCUGCGGAAGGAUCAUUAAAAAAAGAUCAUAAUCCAGAUUCAUUUUGUGUGCAUUUAUUGAUCAGUUUACUUUGACAGAUUUUGUUUUUUUGGUUGCUUAAUAUUUUAUAAAAAUAAAAAGCAACAAAAACAUAGAGAUUAAAAUUGAAAAUUUCAGUUUAAAUCUCAGAUCUGUCAAAGUUUUCUUUUAAUUUAAAAAUACUAUUAAUUUUAAAUUAAACAUUAAUAAUUUAAUUUAAUACAACUUUCAACAACGGAUCUCUUGGCUCUCGCAUCGAUGAAGAACGCAGC